Molecule: ribosomal RNA, 935 nt
Filed under: Piloderma olivaceum
Lineage: Eukaryota; Fungi; Basidiomycota; Agaricomycetes; Atheliales; Atheliaceae
Description: eukaryotic LSU rRNA
Rfam family: Eukaryotic large subunit ribosomal RNA (bases 689-935)
Source: RNAcentral
GAUUGAANGGGNCUUAGUGAGGUCUUCGGAUUGGCUUUGGGGAGCCGGCGACGGCACCCUAUCGCUGAGAAGUCGAUCAAACUUGGUCAUUUAGAGGAAGUAAAAGUCGUAACAAGGUUUCCGUAGGUGAACCUGCGGAAGGAUCAUUAUUGAAAUUAUAGGUGAGGGUUGUAGCUGGCCUCUCGGGGCAUGUGCACGCCCGAGCCCUUAAUCCACACACACCUGUGAACCUAUUGUAAGGGCCCUUAAAAAAGGCCUUUACGUCUUAUCAUCAACCCAUCGUAUGUCUCAUAGAAUGUAAAUAUAUGUCCUCGCCUUAAAAAGCGUUGAUAAACUUAUACAACUUUCAACAACGGAUCUCUUGGCUCUCGCAUCGAUGAAGAACGCAGCGAAAUGCGAUAAGUAAUGUGAAUUGCAGAUUUUCAGUGAAUCAUCGAAUCUUUGAACGCACCUUGCGCUCCUUGGUAUUCCGAGGAGCAUGCCUGUUUGAGUGUCAUUAAAUUCUCAACUCCGAUCGAUUUGUUUCGACUUCGGAGCUUGGAUUUGGAGCGUGCUGGCGUCGGUCGGCUCCUCUUAAAUGCAUCAGCGGAAUCUAAUGUUUCGGAUGUCAGUGUGAUAAUCAUGUUGCGCUGUCUGUCUGAUCCGAAAGCCCGCUCACAAUGGUCUUCGGACAACUUCAUAUCAAAUUUGACCUCAAAUCAGGUAGGACUACCCGCUGAACUUAAGCAUAUCAAUAAGCGGAGGAAAAGAAACUAACAAGGAUUCCCCUAGUAACUGCGAGUGAAGCGGGAAAAGCUCAAAUUUAAAAUCUGGCGGUCUUGCGGCCGUCCGAGUUGUAAUCUGGAGAAGCGUUUAUCCGCGUCGGACCGUGUACAAGUCUUCUGGAAGGGAGCGUCGUAGAGGGUGAGAAUCCCGUCUUUGACACGGACAACCGG